RNAcentral lists this transfer RNA (72 nucleotides) under Camelus bactrianus (Bactrian camel). It matches the Rfam family "tRNA". From Rfam's summary of the family: Transfer RNA (tRNA) molecules are approximately 80 nucleotides in length. Their secondary structure includes four short double-helical elements and three loops (D, anti-codon, and T loops). Lineage: Eukaryota; Metazoa; Chordata; Mammalia; Artiodactyla; Camelidae. RNAcentral also lists the same sequence under 2 other names. The record is from Rfam by way of RNAcentral.
GAGGGGAUAGCUCCGUGGUUAGAGCAAUGCUUUGCAUGCACAAGGUCCUGGGUUCAAACCCCAGUCCCUCCA